Molecule: ribosomal RNA, 452 nt
Filed under: uncultured bacterium
Lineage: Bacteria
Description: bacterial SSU rRNA
Rfam family: Bacterial small subunit ribosomal RNA
Source: RNAcentral
AACGAACGCUGGCGGCAGGCUUAACACAUGCAAGUCGAACGCCCUCUUCGGAGGGAGUGGCAGACGGGUGAGUAACGCGUGGGAACCUACCUAUCAGUACGGAACAACUCAGGGAAACUUGUGCUAAUACCGUAUACGUCCUUCGGGAGAAAGAUUUAUCGCUGAUAGAUGGGCCCGCGUUAGAUUAGCUAGUUGGUGAGGUAACGGCUCACCAAGGCGACGAUCUAUAGCUGGUCUGAGAGGAUGAUCAGCCACACUGGAACUGAGACACGGUCCAGACUCCUACGGGAGGCAGCAGUGGGGAAUAUUGGACAAUGGGCGCAAGCCUGAUCCAGCCAUGCCGCGUGAGUGAUGAAGGCCCUAGGGUUGUAAAGCUCUUUCAACGGUGAAGAUAAUGACGGUAGCCGUAGAAGAAGCCCCGGCUAACUUCGUGCCAGCCGCCGCCGUAACAC